RNAcentral lists this transfer RNA (113 nucleotides) under Candidatus Woesearchaeota archaeon. RNAcentral's name for it is "tRNA-Val". It matches the Rfam family "tRNA". From Rfam's summary of the family: Transfer RNA (tRNA) molecules are approximately 80 nucleotides in length. Their secondary structure includes four short double-helical elements and three loops (D, anti-codon, and T loops). Further hydrogen bonds mediate the characteristic L-shaped molecular structure. tRNAs have two regions of fundamental functional importance: the anti-codon, which is responsible for specific mRNA codon recognition, and the 3' end, to which the tRNAs corresponding amino acid is attached (by aminoacyl-tRNA synthetases). tRNAs cope with the degeneracy of the genetic code in two manners: having more than one tRNA (with a specific anti-codon) for a particular amino acid; and 'wobble' base-pairing, i.e. permitting non-standard base-pairing at the 3rd anti-codon position. Lineage: Archaea; Nanobdellati; Candidatus Woesearchaeota. The record is from RNAcentral.
GGGCCCGUGGUCUAGCGGUUACGCAAAACUGCAGUUUUGUAAUCGCAUCUUGCGUCGCAGAUGACAACUCCCUUACACGGAGUAGGCCCCCGGUUCAAAUCCGGGCGGGCCCA